UGGGUGCUGGCCUGGAGGGACGCGCCGAGGCCGCAAGCCGCCGCCGGGGCAGAGGCGCAUGGCCCAGGUUGGCCCCGGCCCAGGGCCUCGGGCUCUGCCGCUGUCCUGGCCUGGCGGGCAGAGCCAGACGCACAGCCCGCGCCUCCCCACCUUCUGGGCUCUAACUCCGGGAACUGAAGCAGUGGGACUCCUGCUCAGGUUUGCUCUAAGAGAGGAGAAGGUUGAUGGUUACAUGGAACUGGUGGUCCCAAGGCUCUUCCAGGCAGUGCGGUGUUCUUCUGGUGCUGUGAUCCGGGUAGUGCAACCUGAACUCAUCCACCUCCCCCAGGCAGAAGGGGGUGGCUGCGUUUUUGCAGGCUCUACCUUCCAGCUUGAGCUCGAGAAUCUAUUGCUUCAGAACUCUCAGUACCAUGAAGUCAGUGGAAUGAUCACUGUCAAGAAUGAGUGCGCAACAGGGGAGCAAAUGACAUCAUUCAUCUCUGGCACAGUGGGAAUGAGUGGAGAUGGACGUGGUCAAGGAACAUUUCUUCACUCCAUGCUCUUAAUAAUUGAGAAACACAUGGGGAUACUGUUUCUAACCCUAACUACUGAAACAACAGGUGGACCUGGAAGUCAUUCAAGAACUGAGAUAAGGACAGCUUCUUUCAUAAAUGACCGGGGAGGUGAAAGUCUAGAAAAUAAACAGUGAACUUCUCACUUUGAAAUAGCAAUAAUUAUAGAGUAAUAAAUAUCAAAUACAUAAGAGAAAAAAGACAAAAUUAAAGACAUUUGUUGCAUUACAUGAAAAAAGCCAUGAGAUUAAAAAAUGUAGAGAUUUUGACUUCUUCUAAAUAAAAUUGAUAAGCAAGCAUUAAUGCUUUCCCCUCUGUACCUUCUGUAGUCACACACAAAUGGACCCACCCCAAACACACACACGCACUCAGAGUUUACUUUUAACAAGAGUUGAAGCCAUACACAUUUGUGUUUCUAUUUGAAGACACAGAUUGGGGAGAGCAUAAGGGAGGAACAUCUCAGGGGUUUCCAGAAGCAAAGUGGAUCAUGGCUCAGCUGAGCAGCUCCUCAAAAGCCACUCCCAGCUGUGCUCCAGUCUGCCCCACUGUGAAGGCUAAACUGCUAAUUGCUUUCCUUCCCUUUCUUGCAGUAAAGUGUAGGUAUAAGACCUAAUUCUGGGUCAUGCGGAGUACAUGGAAAUCUGCUGGGG
RNAcentral lists this long non-coding RNA (1201 nucleotides) under Heterocephalus glaber (naked mole-rat). RNAcentral describes it as "lncRNA (ENSHGLG00100032300.2)". The record is from RNAcentral. Lineage: Eukaryota; Metazoa; Chordata; Mammalia; Rodentia; Bathyergidae.